GGCUAUGGCCAUACCACCCUGAACAUGCCCUGUUUUGCCUGAUCUCAGAAGCUAAGCAGGGUCGGGCCUGGUUAGUACUUGGAUGGGAGAACAUUGUAAACUCUAUGAGGGGAAGGAGCUU
This 121-nucleotide ribosomal RNA is filed under the name Propithecus coquereli (Coquerel's sifaka). The record is from RNAcentral. Lineage: Eukaryota; Metazoa; Chordata; Mammalia; Primates; Indriidae.